UACGUAGGUGGCAAGCGUUGUCCGGAAUUACUGGGCGUAAAGCGUGCGCAGGCGGUUUUGUAAGUCAGAUGUGAAAGCCCCGGGCUUAACCUGGGAACUGCGUUUGAAACUACAAGGCUAGAGUGUGGCAGAGGGGGGUGGAAUUCCACGUGUAGCAGUGAAAUGCGUAGAGAUGUGGAGGAACACCGAUGGCGAAGGCGGCGUUCUGGACUGCAACUGACACUGAGAGACGAAAGCCAGGGGAGCAAACGGG
RNAcentral lists this ribosomal RNA (253 nucleotides) under uncultured bacterium. Its description in RNAcentral is "partial 16S ribosomal RNA". It matches the Rfam family "Bacterial small subunit ribosomal RNA", at positions 524 to 776 of the family's 1533-position model. The record is from RNAcentral.